Molecule: ribosomal RNA, 493 nt
Filed under: uncultured bacterium
Lineage: Bacteria
Description: bacterial SSU rRNA
Rfam family: Bacterial small subunit ribosomal RNA
Source: RNAcentral
UCAGUUGUGAAAGUUUGCGGCUCAACCGUAAAAUUGCAGUUGAUACUGGAUAUCUUGAGUGCAGUUGAGGCAGGCGGAAUUCGUGGUGUAGCGGUGAAAUGCUUAGAUAUCACGAAGAACUCCGAUUGCGAAGGCAGCCUGCUAAGCUGCAACUGACAUUGAGGCUCGAAAGUGUGGGUAUCAAACAGGAUUAGAUACCCUGGUAGUCCACACGGUAAACGAUGAAUACUCGCUGUUUGCGAUAUACGGCAAGCGGCCAAGCGAAAGCGUUAAGUAUUCCACCUGGGGAGUACGCCGGCAACGGUGAAACUCAAAGGAAUUGACGGGGGCCCGCACAAGCGGAGGAACAUGUGGUUUAAUUCGAUGAUACGCGAGGAACCUUACCCGGGCUUAAAUUGCACUCGAAUGAUCCGGAAACGGUUCAGCUAGCAAUAGCGAGUGUGAAGGUGCUGCAUGGUUGUCGUCAGCUCGUGCCGUGAGGUGUCGGCUUAAG